GGUAUCGUGAGGGAAGUGUAUGGGGUAGUACGAGAGGAACUCCCAUGCCGUGCCUCUGGUUUCUGGAGUUUGUCGAACGGCAAGUGCUCCGACGCUAUCGCACGGUGGUUCUCGGCUGAACGCCUCUAAGCCGGAAGAAGCCAAUCCCAAGACCAGAUGCC
Molecule: non-coding RNA, 161 nt
Filed under: Trypanosoma theileri
Lineage: Eukaryota; Euglenozoa; Kinetoplastea; Trypanosomatida; Trypanosomatidae
Description: Eukaryotic large subunit ribosomal RNA
Rfam family: Eukaryotic large subunit ribosomal RNA
Source: Rfam by way of RNAcentral